This 216-nucleotide ribosomal RNA is filed under the name Cichlidae sp. Its description in RNAcentral is "partial small subunit ribosomal RNA". It matches the Rfam family "Bacterial small subunit ribosomal RNA", at positions 492 to 794 of the family's 1533-position model. Lineage: Eukaryota; Metazoa; Chordata; Actinopteri; Cichliformes; Cichlidae. The record is from RNAcentral.
GUCGGUAAAACUCGUGCCAGCCACCGCGGUUAUACGAGAGGCUCAAGUUGAUAGACAUCGGCGUAAAGAGUGGUUAAGAAGUUUCUUAAACUAAAGCCGAACACCCUCAGAACUGUUAUACGUACCCGAGGAUAAGAAGCCCCACUACGAAAGUGGCUUUAUAUUUCUGACCCCACGAAAGCUGCGAAACAAACUGGGAUUAGAUACCCCACUAUG